GGGUAGUUUGACUGGGGCGGUCUCCUCCCAAAGAGUAACGGAGGAGCACGAAGGUUGGCUAAUCCUGGUCGGACAUCAGGAGGUUAGUGCAAUGGCAUAAGCCAGCUUAACUGCGAGACGGACAGGUCGAGCAGGUACGAAAGUAGGUCAUAGUGAUCCGGUGGUUCUGAAUGGAAGGGCCAUCGCUCAACGGAUAAAAGGUACUCCGGGGAUAACAGGCUGAUACCGCCCAAGAGUUCAUAUCGACGGCGGUGUUUGGCACCUCGAUGUCGGCUCAUCACAUCCUGGGGCUGAAGUCGGUCCCAAGGGUAUGGCUGUUCGCCAUUUAAAGUGGUACGCGAGCUGGGUUCAGAACGUCGUGAGACAGUUCGGUCCCUAUCUGCCGUGGGCGUUGGAUGAUUGAAGGGAGUUGCUCCUAGUACGAGAGGACCGGAGUGAACGAACCUCUGGUGUUCGGGUUGUCACGCCAGUGGCACUGCCCGGUAGCUAAGUUCGGAAUCGAUAACCGCUGAAAGCAUCUAAGCGGGAAGCGAGCCCUGAGAUGAGUCAUCCCUGACCCCUUGAGGGUCCUAAAGGGCCGUUGGAGACCACAACGUUGAUAGGUGGGGUGUGUAAG
RNAcentral lists this ribosomal RNA (616 nucleotides) under Aeromonas hydrophila. RNAcentral describes it as "partial 23S ribosomal RNA". It matches the Rfam family "Bacterial large subunit ribosomal RNA", at positions 2263 to 2873 of the family's 2925-position model. The record is from RNAcentral. Lineage: Bacteria; Pseudomonadati; Pseudomonadota; Gammaproteobacteria; Aeromonadales; Aeromonadaceae.